GAUCCUGGCUCAGGAUGAACGCUAGCUACAGGCUUAACACAUGCAAGUCGAGGGGAAACGACAUCGAAAGCUUGCUUUUGAUGGGCGUCGACCGGCGCACGGGUGAGUAACGCGUAUCCAACCUGCCCACCACUUGGGGAUAACCUUGCGAAAGUAAGACUAAUACCCAAUGAUAUCUCUAGAAGACAUCUGAAAGAGAUUUAAAGAUUUAAUCGGUGAUGGAUGGGGAUGCGUCUGAUUAG
This 242-nucleotide ribosomal RNA is filed under the name uncultured bacterium. RNAcentral describes it as "partial 16S ribosomal RNA". It matches the Rfam family "Bacterial small subunit ribosomal RNA", at positions 15 to 244 of the family's 1533-position model. The record is from RNAcentral.